RNAcentral lists this ribosomal RNA (545 nucleotides) under uncultured marine bacterium. RNAcentral describes it as "bacterial SSU rRNA". It matches the Rfam family "Bacterial small subunit ribosomal RNA", at positions 47 to 637 of the family's 1533-position model. The record is from RNAcentral.
CCUAACACAUGCAAGUCGAACGAAGUAGCAAUACUUAGUGGCAGACGGGUGAGUAACAUGUGGGUAUCUGCCCUUUGGCCUGGAAUAACACGAGGAAACUUGUGCUAAUACCGGAUAAGUCUUUACGGAGAAAGCUUUAUGCACCAUUGGAUGAGCCCGCACUUGAUUAGUUUGUUGGUAGGGUAAUGGCCUACCAAGACUGUGAUCAAUAGCUGAUUUGAGAGGAUGAUCAGCCACAUUGGGACUGAGACACGGCCCAAACUCCUACGGGAGGCAGCAGUGGGGAAUCUUGCACAAUGGAGGAAACUCUGAUGCAGCGAUGCCGCGUGAGUGAAGAAGGCCCUUGGGUUGUAAAGCUCUUUCGUCGGGGAAGAAAAUGACUGUACCCGAAUAAGAAGGUCCGGCUAACUUCGUGCCAGCAGCCGCGGUAAUACGAAGGGACCUAGCGUAGUUCGGAAUUACUGGGCUUAAAGAGUUCGUAGGUGGUUGAAAAAGUUGGUGGUGAAAUCCCAGAGCUUAACUCUGGAACUGCCAUCAAAACUUUU